AUAUAAUGAAUUUCUCCUUAAAGAGAUGCAGAGAAAUAGAAAACCAAAAUCACACUAAAAAGUUAGCUGGACAGCAUAAACAAUAAACAACGUAAGAGUUAUUUUGGAAAACCACAAGAGAAAUAAAUUUCCUAGAUUAGCCAGGCAGUCAGCAUCACACAAUAAAAGAACCCAUUUGGAGGACAAUUAAUUACUUGUUAUAAUGGCUCGGAAAUUACAAGCACAGUGACCUCAGCUUCCACUUCCAGCCUUCCACCACGCAAACGCCAUUCACUAGAAAUCCAGUCUCUGGCUCAUCUAACUCACUCAAUGAAACGAAUCUUGGCCAGCCCCAGUUUUCGCUGGGUGUAUUGAACCAGUCUUUAUUCUCUAAUAGAGUAAAAGGAACAUUCUCGUUAUAUUAUUUGGAUUUGCCUCAAAUACUAAUUGUAUGUAAACACACACAUUUUACCUCGAAAAGAUUUAUGUUUCGCCCCCACUUGAUCUAUGAUUCGCAAUGUAUGCUCUGCAUAUAUAUUCUUUAAUCACCUCGACUGUGGAAUCUACCAAAGCCAAGUACAGAGAAAGAUGAUCGCCAUCACCACAGCCGUUUCCAAUCUGGGGGAAUGUGCAUCACAAACAAAGAAACAAACAAACAUUACCAGAAGCAACUAUGCAGUUACUGGUUCGGAAACAAAAAACCUAGUCACUGAAAACGGAGAGAACAAUUACUAUCUUUGAGUACAGAAGCAGAACAACUAAAACCUAUCUUUACCAGCUUUCGCAGCACGCAGCCCUCCAGUAAUUAGUGCAUCAAGCAACAUGUCCAUAACUAGCAUGGAUGAAUUUCAAAUUUAGGAGUCCAAUAAUGCGAGCGGUUUGAGUGAGAUAUUAUAACUGAAUUAUUGGCGAUUAAAACUUCAGAAAGGAACAGGUGUCUGAUAAGCUUCUACCUUCACUUUUGCAGCAACCACUGCAUAAUGUCCUUUCGCAGCACUCCAUCAAACCCAUUUCUAUUGUAGUGCAAACUCAACAGAUCAGAUCCAUUUGUCUCAAGAUGCCUAUACUGGGUUGUGGUUCCUGCAGGCCUUGGAUGCCGCAUCAUCAUGGCAAUGGUGGAAAAGGUUGGUUUAGAUGUUUGGACUCCAGGAGUUUUUGGAUUCGAGGACUUCAUUCCAUGGUUGGUCAUGCUCAUGCUGGAGCCAUGUGACAGUUUCUCAGGCGGACCACGUAUCUGGGCAGAUGCUUUCAUUCGGUCAAGCCAACGUAGAAUCCAGUUACCAACAUUUCUACCAACUUCUAUGUCCCUCUCAUGUAUGUUCCUGUGAAACUUGAGAGCAACAUCAAAGGCAGCACGUACUCGGCUGUGGAAAAAAUCAAUGAAGAAUGAAGGUCAGUCUUCAAAAAACAAUGGCAGUUCCAAGUUGGAGGAGUAAUAAAUUUGUUAUUAUUCAAAACAAUUGUAGAAAUAACAGUAUUUGCCAGCUAGUAACUGACAUAACAGCAGUAGUUAAACAGUAGAAUGGAAUCCAAUGAGCCAACCAUUGGGAAGAAUGCAAUGCUCAGGCAGUACCGUGGUCAAUAUCACACUGAGACUCUAAGAGUGGAGGAUGUGCAAUUAUUGGUUUCAUGAGGCAUACUAAAUCAAUUCAAAGUCCAAAGUAUUGAAACAAUUAAUUAAUUUAGGAUUUCCGUUUUAUGCAGAGGCUUUCAUGAAUAAUUACAACUAGAUCAGAAGGAUUCUGGAAAAAAGAUAUGUGCCCUGGUAACUUACUUUCAUGAAGUUAAUAACGUCCUACUAAUAAACAUCAAAAUACAACGGCUCAUUAAAAAGAAAAGCACAGAAGAACUUUCAAUCUAUCAUUUCAAAACAGUCUCUUUGAACUAAACAAGAGUACAGCUAUGACCUCCAGCUUUGGACGUUAGUACUUGUGCUUCUCCAAAAUCUUCAUAUCACCCAAAGAGAGACAGCAAUUUAAGAAUGUGCUCAUAAUAAUGAAAUUAGUUCUGGUAUCGGAGCAUUGUAGCUUGAUUGGAUAAUAAGUUCACAGGAAUGCAUAUGAGACUCUCCGACUGCUUCACCUACAGGUACUACACGAAGCUGGCAAACAUGUUAUUUUGACAUCAAGUGUUCAACAUAAUGCCAAAACAGCAAAAAAACAUUUCGUUAAAAGUUUGGUAUAGCAAAUCUAAAAGAUAAGUUAAUUCAAAUCCCAUAAUUGGCACAUAGACAAAACUAGUUGGAGGUUUGCAAAACUUCGCAAUAGAAAUUAUGCACCAAUCUAGAGCGAGAGAAUGCAGGUUGCAGUUCCAGAUAUUCAAUGAUCAACUGAGUUGAUAGUAACUUCUCUUAAUCUUUUAAGGAUUGGCUUUGCUCCAUAAUUGGUUAAAUAAAAAAUUCAGCAACCUAGCCUAUACAAUAUGUCAUAAGAUCACAGAUUUAGAAGCUGAUUUUAUUAUGAAAUGCACAGGGCCAUUCUAAGUCAGAUAGGAAAGAAUAAUUGCUUUGAGGGAAGAGCUCAGUGGUCUCUCAUAUUGCACAUGAUAUCAAGUCAAUGUGAACCAUUCACAUCAGUUUACAUCCAAGCUGAAGUAGAAGUGACAGGAUGCACAACGAACUAGUUGAAAUACUAAACUAAAGUUUUUCCCUUCAUAUUCCUAUAUAAUUAACACAGCUAAAAUACAGAUUGGUACAAGCUGAAGUAGAAGUGACAGGAUGCACAAUGAACUAGUUGAAGUACUAAACUAAAGUUUUUCCCUUCAUAUUCCUAUAUAAUUAACACAGCUAAAAUACAGAUUGGUACUUUGUUAUAGCCGUAUUCAAACACAUAUGCUGACCUCUGUAUAACUAAACUUCAAUGGAGCUCAUUAGAUUGGAAGCAAUAAUUUCAUUGGAAUAGCCAAGAUGGGGCACACUCAAACGUAAACAAGCAGAAUACAAUAGGUGCAUCUAGCAAGAAAACUUCCAUUUUAAGAGAUGGUCUAACGGCAUGGCACUCACACAGAAAAUUCAGACAAUGAAUAACAAUUUAUGAACCACCGUCAAAGUAACUUUUCAAAGAGAUGAUUAAUACAUAGGCAAAGACAAGCCAUCGUUAUUGUGGACACAUUUUAAUACGCUGUUCCCAAUGUGAUCUCCCACAGCACCAUUCUCUCUCUUGCUAGAACUCUCUCUCUCUCUCUCACUCUCUCUGAGUCUCUCUCUGUGAGUGUAUUUAUGCACUUCUUUUUUCUAGUUUUAUGUUUAUUUAUUUUGUAUAUUUUUUUUCUUAUAUUUUGACGUUUCUUUUCUCCCAAGUAAAAUCUAUGGAUUCUUUGAUUCAAGCCGCCAGAAAGUUCGAUCUUCGUUGCCCAUCAGGCUUCGGUCUUGAGUGUUCAACUGUUUAUUCUGUGAGCUUCUAUAUGUAUAUAAAGAGGAAAUUUUGAGGAAUUUAAAUUUUGCACCGAAUACAAAACAUGUGAUGAAAAGUCUAAAAUACCCUUAUAUUGGAACGGCCAAAUGCACGCCUCUCGGCCUCUGCCUACACCCAUCACAUAUGGUUGCGCGACCUUUUCUCAAGGUGACAACCAGUCUCGACCUCAAUGGUUACGUAAUUAUGAUACUCAUAUUCCUUCUCGAUCUACGUUUGGUUUUAUUUAAUUAAUUUUUUUAAUUGCUCGAAUAUUAUCGAAAAUAUACAGAUUAUGAUUCAACAAUUUGUUAAUUAUUCCAUGACUAUCUAACUAUAAUUAAGCAAUUUAUCUACGUAUUAUAACGAGCAAGGAAUUAAAUUAAAAAAGUCUGUAACUUUUUUUUAAAAAAAAGAAAAAAUAUCAAAAAAUUGAGAGAGAGAUAGGGGGAAAAAAAUAGGUAUUUAGGUACUUAAGUUGUGUUGUUAUAUUGGAUGAAUGUAUUUCAUAGUAUUUUUAUGGCAUAUUUAAAAUUAAAAAAAAUAAUAAUAGAAAAAAAAAUCCCUCUACAUCUCUUCCUGUUUGAAAUUACAUAGUUAAAUAGAGAAUUUUAUUUUUUAAAACAAAAAUUACGUCGCCAUUGACCGGCGUUACUGAUGUUGACCGCUAUCUUUUAUCGCAUUAAAUAUAUAAUAAUGAUCAGAAAUGGAUGAUUUAUCCUUUGGAAGUGUUAAUUUUGUAGUCGGCGUUAUCGAUGCUGAUCGCCAUCUUUUAUCGUGUUAAAUACAUAAUAAUGAUAAAAAAAAUGGACGAUUUACUCAUUGGAAGUGUUAAUUUUGCAGAAAAUACACUAUAUAGUUGGAAAUAUGAGAGUUAAAAUUUUCUCAAGCAUUUAAACAAGACUUGAGUUAAAUAACAACGUAUAUUAGCAUUUCUAACCCCAUAGAGUUGUAGAUCGGCUCAUGAGGAUUCCAUUGGUACUGGUUUUUAUCGUAAAGCGCGUCUCCGGCAAAACUCCGGCAAGUCUCCGGUGACUUUCCGGCAAGUCACUUUACUGUUUUUUCUUUUUUCAAAUAAGUUUAUCCUAUUAAUUUAAGAAAAUAAAUAUAAAUUAUUUGAACUUUAAUUUAUUUAAAAUUGAUUUUGUUUAGAGGAUAAUAUUGAAAUUUUUGUGUUUAAAUAAAUAAGGAAUUUGAAAUCCUUAGUCAUUGAUAAGGAAUACAAAUUUUUCAAAUUGAUGGAAAUUGAAUUUCAAUUGAAUUUGGUCUAACCAAACAAUAGAAAGUAGAAAAGAAAUCAAAUUAAUGGAAAUUCAAUUUUAUUGAAUUUGGUCCAACCAAAUAGUGGAAAGUGAAAAAGAAAUCAAAUUCUUUUCCUCUCCCCACUCCUCUACCCCCAAGCAAACAUGGCAUAAGGGCUCAUUUUUAGAUGAGGCAUUUAAUUAAUUAGAUGAUAUGAGUAAAGAUAUUAACAAACAAAUCAUUUUCAUAUGAUAGAAUUUCUUUUGCAUCAAUUAUAUCACACCUGUGUAUUUUUGGACCCUAAUUAGAUAUAAUUAUCCUCAAGUUUGGACGUCUGUCUGAUCAUAGCUUAAAUCCAAACUUGGUAGGGACGUUUGGACCGAAGCACCAUUUCAAAGAACAUACCAACUUGUUUUUCCAUUGCAACAAUUUCCUCCAAAUUACUAUAAUUCUUCAAGUACCUAAACUAGUACCGAAGAAAGUUGAUUAUAAUAAGAUUUUUCUAGGGUUAGAGUUCUCUCGAGAGUAAUUUUUUUCUUUAAAAUAUCUAAAAGGGACCAUGGUAUAUAGAAGCAUAUCAAAGUUAAGGGUUUAUACAAUUUAAGAGUAAAAUUUUAGAAAGAGUCAAAGUGACUGUUGAUAUUUAUCAAAUUUUGGAAACUGAUGGUUGCAAGAAUGGAAUGGAAAGCUAAGGGUAAAGAAAAGGGGAAUAGAAUGGGGAAAGGAGUAUUGAUUUCUUUAAUUUGUUUGGUUUGGUCAAGGAAUAUUGAUUCUUUCGUUUCAAAAAUGGAAUGGCAAGGGGAAAGAAAACAACUAUAAUGCAAAUGAAUAAAAAUAUCCUCCACUAGAAAAUGUAUAUUUCAUCGAGUUGAAGCAAUAUCUUAGUUGUUUUGUUUUCUACUACCAAAUAUUAUAUAAUUAACUCGCAAAAUUUAGGUUCAAUUAAGUAUUGUGGUUGAGCAGUACUUAAGUAUUUGUUAUUUUUUUUUAUGUGAUUUGAAAGUUAAGGUUUUUUUUCUCUUAUUUAUAUAAAGGCAUACUUUCAUAGAUGAUAAUGAAGUGCAAGAUUGUGUAAAACACACCCAAGAUUUUAUUUUUAAAAUGGGCUGACACUAAAUUAGGUCUUCUACUCUAACCCCUACCUUAGAUCUCCCAAAUCCUGGUUUAGAGGACCCCAUCUCUUUCUUCUUAAAUUUGGCAAAUUCGUUGCCAAUUACAAUUGCAUCCAAUUUACACAUUUUACCUGAAUGACACUUUAUUAAAACAUCCUUGGAAAAGUAUUUAGAUGCAUAUGCCAACAUUUUAGGAUGAUUUAAUUUUACUAAAUUAAUUAAAAAAGUAAGGGGUAUAAAUGAUUUUUUCUGGACUAGACCAGGCCACAGUUCGGUCUAACCCACGUGUGGGUCUACCACCGGGUUUACUAGUUGCGACUAUAAAGCGAAACACAAAGAGGACAAAAGCAACAGUGGAUUAGAUAUCACAUGCUAAACCCAUAAAACGGCAGCUGCAUGGAAUCUCCAUGUGGAGACUUAAGAACCAAUUAACCACCAAUUAUCGAGCGUCAACAACUGAAUUUCUUUGCCAAAAGAGGUGGGUCCAAUGAGAUCAACUCUUAUUAUAAGAUAUAAAAUUAAAAAUUGGCAUCCCAAUUUUCUUGCAAGAGUCACAAUGCUUAUUAGAAUAUAUAUUACAGGGCUUUGGAAAUUCCAAGCACAGGCAUCUCUGCUUCCACAAUACACACAUCAUUCACAAGAAAACCAUUUCCUGCCUUGUUCAGGUAAUUGAGUUCAACAAAAUUUGUCCAACCCCCAAAUUUAUUUGAGGUAUUUAACCAUUCUCCAGCUGCGAACACGACAAUAGAAACCUUGAGUUAUUUGCAUUUAGCUACAAAACUUAUUGAACUGAAUUACCUGUUAAAGUCUGGGUUUAUAAUAAUUUACCUUUUUUUUCAUAAUGCUUUGACAGCAAUUGAUUCCGGAUUCGCAGUGUAAAAUGCACGUAUAUUUUAGAACCACCAGUUAUAGUUGACGAGUCAGUCAAUUCCAAGUACAUGGAAAUAUGACUGCCUUUAGCUUCUCCCAGUCCUUUGGGAAGGAGUAGUAUCUUCCUAAAAAAAAAUCAACAAGGGUAAAGUAUAAGUCUCUGCAUUCAAUUAAUUGUGCAUAUUAUUAAUACAUUAACUUUUAGAUGUGGCAUUUAGAUUAUAUAUGUGAAUAGAGAAACAAACAAAUUUUAACAAUUCAUUUUACAUUAUACAUUUGAAGAAGUGGUUUUAACAUGAUGCAUCUUUUUAACAAGUUGCAUUAUUCAAAACUCAAAAGAAUUUCUUUUGCAUCAGAAAUCUAUUGCAGACGUACAAAUGAACCCUAAAGUGUUAGCCAUGCUCGGGUCUAGAUUUAGUCUAUGAUAUAUUAGAGUUUUAAAUUGCUAUUAAAUGUAGAACUUUGAUCAUAUUUUAAAUUCGAUUUUUAUGAACUCCGAAUGUCCGGAUUUGAACACCAUUUCAAAAAGUAUACAUACCACUUUUGAUCUCCAGCAACGAAUACUUCUGAUUCAUAAAACCUGUCCUCUAACUUUGAAAAGUUCUCGAUCUUCCAAACAUGCUUAUAAUUGGAAGCAGAUGUCAAUUUCAUCAUGGAAAGGCACUCUCCUGUGCAUUCUUUCGUUUCUUUAACAAAUACUUCUGCUCCAAAAACACACGUAUCUCCCACAAGAUAUCCAUUCGAAGCAUUAAUAAAUUCUUCAAGCGGGAUGAAUUGAUCAAAACCCCAUUCAAGCUUUAAUCCAUGAAAACGUCUUUGUUUACCCAUGGCAUCUAUCACAUGGAGGUGACCGGCCCAAAUCAUUGAUUAGGUCUCACUUAAAUAAUUAAGCACAAAACAAUCAUAAACAUUAUUGAGUGUAAUAACUAACCUUGAAGAAUCAAGAACUCGUCUUUCUUCUGAUCAAGCACAAAUAGGCGGAAAAUCACAUAGACUUCCCAACCAAGGCCAAAUGAACUUGUGUCUACCAUAGCCAAGUAGACUGAGAUGUGGUCUUUCACAUUUUCAUUUUUAUUUCCAUUUGGGUAGACAACAAGUUUCCUGAAACCAUCAUGAAUUCAAAAUAACAUAUUAGAUUAUGAUAUGUAAUUUAGUAAUAAGGUGAUCUGAAUAUAGUGUACAAUUAGGUUUUGGGCCACACCACUUGUAGCCUCCAGCAUCAAAUUCCAAGGAUUUAUAAUUUUCCACGUCAUUCUCCACAAGAGAUGAAAAUGCCUCUAUUUUGAGUAAGAAAUGUGCCGGUGGUACAUGUGAAAUGGAUCUCGAAAUUGCUGUCAAGAGUAAUUUUAACAUUGAUCAGAAAAUAACAGGCUAGAAAUUUUCAAUGCACAUAUAUAAACAUAUAUAGAGAAGGGGAGGUGGGGAAAGAGUCAGAGAACAUACCAACUUGGUCUACAAAGUCAUUUUCCAUUGCAGCAAAUUCCUCCAAACUAUUAUAAAUCUUCAAGUACUAAAACUAGUACUGAAGAAAGAUUGAUUAUAAUAAGAUUCUUCAAGGGCUAGGGUAUUCUCUCAAGAGUAAUAUUUCUUCUUUAAGAUAUCUAAAAGGGACCGUGGUACAUAUAAAGCAUCAAGGUUGAGGGUUUAUAUAAUUCAACAUUAAAUUUCUAGAAAGAGUCAGAAUGACUAUUGGUAUUCACCAAGUUUUGGAAAAUGAUGGUUGCAAGAAUGGAAUGGAAAGGGGAAUGCAAUGGGGGAAAAGGGAUAUUGAUUCUUUAAUUUGUUUGUUUUGGUCAAGGAAUAUUGAUUUCUUUGCUUGGUUGCAAGAAUGGAUGGUAAGAGGCAAGAAAACAACUACAGUACAAAUGAACAAAAAUAUGUACCCUCCACUCAAAAACCGUGUAUUUCGACAAGCUGAAGCAAUAUUUUAGUUGUCUAUUUUCUAUUAUCAACUAAUAUAAUUAGCUUCCAAAAUUUAAGCCCGAUUUAGUACUAUGGUUGAGCAGCACUUAAGUGUUCUGUAAAUACUUAUUGAUUUAAAUUCAUUUUAUUUGACACUCGUAAGAUAAAAAAAGUCUAUAGUACCUUACCUAUUGCGACUGGCAGAAUACAGAGAGAAAAAAAAAAGCAACAAUAAAUAAGAUAUCGCAGGCUAAACUCAUAAGAAGGCAUCCCCAUGUAGUCUCCAUGUGGAGACUUAACAACCAAUUAACCGCCAAUUAUCGAGCGGCAACAAUUGAAUUUCUUUGUCAAAAUAUAUAGGUACGAUGAGAUUAACUCUUAUUAUAAGAAAUACAAUUAAAAAACUUGGCAUCCCAAUUUUCUUGCAAGAGUAGCAAUGCUUAUUAGAGUAUAUUACAGGGCUUUGGAAAUUCUAAGCACAGACACCUCUGCUUCAGCAUUGCACACAUCGUUCACAAGAAAACCAUUGCUUGCCUUAUUCAAGUAACUGAGUUCAACAAAUUAGUGCCAGCCCCAAUCUUUAAUUGAGUUCCUAAACCAUGUGCUGGCUGCAGGAACAACAAUAGAAACCUGAAGUCACUACUAGAAAAAUGGCUUUUACUGACACUCCUCUUCUGACACUUUUCUAAAAAGUAUCAGUAGUUACAUAUAUUUGGGUCAUUUUCCGUGUUUAACAGACAAGUUCACAAGUUACUAAUUCUAUGGUGUUUGUAGAUUAAACAUAAGAGAUUAUCGACACUAUGGUAUCAGAAAUAACAACAAAAAAGUCUAUUUUUGUUUUAAUUGCUACUCGAACCUAAGACCUCAAAACUGGAGUGCUUUAUGUUCAAACAACAAACCACCAGGCCAAAUUCGUAUUUUAGUUUAUGUUGAAAAUGUUCAAAUUAUCAUAUUAAAAUAACAACAAUAUAAAGCAAAAGCAAAAAACCCUAAAAUCAACAUAAACAUAAAAUUCUCUAACUUCUAAUUCUAUGGCCAGCCGCCUCAUCUCUCUGGCAAGAUCCUUCUUCUUCUUCGUACCUCUAAAAAUUCUCCCCUUCGAGCCCUAAAAUUCAAGGGUCCAUGCCAUGGGAAAUCCUAACAACAUUGCUCAAAUUCUAAGACCCAUACCAUACGAAACCCUAACGAGCUACAUGAGGUUGCGAAACAUCCACCAUGCCACUAUGCCACAAGCUCAGAAGAUCCUCUUUAGAUCUCCACAUUUUGCUCACCCUACUCAAGUGCGCACCGCCCCUCUCGCUUCGACUUCUCUGGAUUUCUUGUUAGCUGAACUUUUGUUUUCUUCUGCUAAUUUGAUCUUCGACUGCCGUAUGGUUAGAUCGGUUCGCUUGGACUCCAUCAUGAUGGACAAAUCAUGUGCGAGGCCUAAGACACUGUUGUUAAAGGUCGAAUCACUAUUUUAGCCUCAAUUGAGAUUUUAAUUUGUUUAUCUAAUUGGAAAAUUAAUGCUUUGAAUUGUAUUGUGUUAAUUUCUUUGGAUAUGCUUAACUGAAUUAUUGCAUACUCAACUAAAUUAAAGGUUAGAUCAUCAUUUCUUAGUUCAAUCUGUAGUUUUAUUUUUUAAUUUUUAGGUGGUAGUUUGCUGAUGUAUUAACUUUAUACUUGUAUGAAGGUAAAUAGAAUUGCAUUGGCUAGGACUCACAGAACAUGUAAUUAAUCACUGUAAAUUGAUUCUUAAGCUAGUUUCCUGAAGGCACUAACAUUGGGUAAAGGUUUUUCAUGUUUAGAUAAUUUCAUUCAAAUUGGAUUAAUAUACCCUAGCGUAGCUAGUUCCUGUGCGACUUAUUGACACGAAAGGACAAUUUAAUUCAAAGUGAACUAAUUAAGCAAGCUUUUAGUUUAUAUAUAUAUAUGAACAGAGAAACAAACAAAUUUUAGCAAAUCAUUUACAUUAUACAUUUGAAGAAGUGGUUUUAACAUGAUGCACCUUUUUAACAAGUUGUACUAUUCUAAUUUCUUCUGCAUUACCAUUAGAAAUAUAACGCACAUGUAUAAAUCAACCUUAAGUAUUAGUCCUGUUCAGGUACAGAUGUCUAGAUUUAGGCUAUUAUAUAUUAGAGUUUUACAACUUUGAUUGUAGUUCGAACCGAGAUUUUAUGAACUCUGAACGUCUGGACUUGAGCAUCAAAUCUAGAUUUUGAUCACCAGCAAUGAAUAUUUCUGAUUCGUAACGCUUUGACUGCACUUUGAAGAGUUCUCGAUCUUCCAUGCAUGCUUAUAAAUGGAAGCAGUUGUGAAUCUCAUCAUGAAAGGCACUCUCCUUUGCCUUUAUUCCUUUCUUAGCAAAGACUUCAGCUAUAAAAACACGAGUGUGUCCUUCAAGAUAUCCAUUCGAAGCAUCGUUAAAAAUCAAGAACUUGUCUCUUUUUUUAUCAAGCACAAAUAAAAAUCUAAUAUCUAAUUCACUGUUGUGGACUGUUAUGACCAUUGAUAUUCACUAAAUUAAUUAUCUUAUUUUGCAGUAACAUAUUUUUGUGAAACGUAACUAAGUAGUACUUUAGCUACUGAUCCUUUUUUUAGUUUAGAAACUACCUCUUUCGAAUUCUUAAAUGUCCAUAAAUGAUAUUCCUUUUAUGUAAUAUUAAUUUCUUGCCCUAUUGUACUAAAUUUAUCUUAUCAAUACUUCUCUUUAAUUAAAAACUAAGAGUUUUUGUCACCAUCUCACUUGGUAAUAUUUGAUAGAUGUGAUUUUAUUUCAGGAUUAAGAUUGUCAGAGAUUUCCUUCCAGGAUUAAGAAUUAUGUCAAUGAACAAACGUGAUCGCAUAAGUAAUUAAGCAAAAAAUCAAUGAAUUUCUUUAUUUUGUGAGAAACAAAGAAGAAUACUUAUUAUUACAAUGCCUCGGAGAUUCUGAGCACAGUGAUCUCAGCUUCCACAACGCGAACGUCGUUCACAAGGUACCCAUUCUCUGGGUCAUUUAACUUACUCAAUGAAACGAAUCUCGACCAACCCCACUUAUUAUCGCCUGGUGCAUGGAACCUUUCUCUGCCUCCUAGAGAAAAAGAAUCAUUCUCAUUAUACACAUUAUUUGAAUUCUAUAGCCUCAAAUUAAGUUUAUUAUUAUUAUUUUGGGUUAAAGGUACUUUCAAAAUCAAAAGUUAAAGAAAACUGCUUGAAAAUCACUCAGUCAAGCUGCCAGUAGCAACUAAAUUAGUUGCGUAUUAGAACAAGCAAUGUGCCUUAAGAAGAUUCAUGCAUUGCCCGAACUUGAUCUAAGAUUCGAAAUGUAAACUUUGCGUAUACUUUAACAGUACUCCGAACUGUGGAAUCUUCAAAAACCAAGAACAAGGAAAGACAAUCGCCAGCAUUGGGCCCAGUUCCCAUGGGUGUAGCUCUGUCUUCCUGAAAACACCGAAAUGGUAUUUUAUUAAUUGUACACUGUUGGGUCAUAAACUUGAUCCAAGAUGAAUAAAUUCAAGCCCAACUCAUGGAAGGUUGGUGAGGUUUAAAUUAUUUGUGUUAGGUGUGGUAGGUGUGGUUGGUGAAGUAGGUGAGUGAUAGGUUUGAAUGGAUUGUGAGGAUUUGUUUAUUAAUUGAAUAAAUGAAUGGUUGUGAUUAGUUUGUUUCAUGUAUAAAUAUCAUCUCUCCUCUUUGGUUUAAGUAUCAAGUGAAGUAACAAAAUUUCUAAGUUGUAGAAAGUGAAAAAUAAGAGUUGUAAUUGGUGAUGAGUAUUGUUGAAGAAAUAAAAUAGUGUGUUUUUUUAGUGUUAUAUGUGUUAAGUCUCCAACAUACACUCACUGACAACUUUGUCCCAAGAACUCAUUAUUUAUUAUACCUGUAGAAAUUAAAAAAAAAACUUAAAAUCUUUGAUACCAUUUGUGAUUUCCAGCAUCGAAAACUUGUGAUUCCUCGUAUCCUGCGUCUAAGUUCUCGAUCUUCCAAACACACUUACAACUAAUUGAAAUUUCUUUUAUAGAUUGGCACUCUCUUUUGAAUUUGUUUCUUUCUUUAACAAGGACUUCAGCUUCAAAAACACACGUAUCUUCGACAAGGUAUCCAUUCGAAGCAUCAUUGAAAGCUCUAAGCGGGAUAAAUUUAUCAAAAUUAACCCCAUACAUGCUUCAGUCCAUUAAACCGUCUUUCCUUUCCCAUGAUAUCUAUCACAUUACAAGCAACCACUCAUUAUGCAUGCAUUCAAUUUUUUUUCCUAAUGUUGCAAUAUACAAUUCUGCACACUAAAUUUGAUUUAACCUUGAACUACACAGUAGUUUUCUUGGUUCUGAUCAAGUAAGAACAGACGAAAAACUGCCGAGACUUCCCAAUCCAAAGUAAAUGAACUUGUGUUAUUAAGGAAAAGAAUAUAUAUAUAUAUAUAUAUGUACCACUUGUAUCCUCCAACUUCAAAUUCUCCUGAUUCAUAUUCCUCUUCUGCUUUUUCUGCAAGUAAUGAUAAUGAUUUUAUUUUGACGAUGAAAUGAGCCGGUGGUAGUGAAGUGUAUCUUGCAAUGGCUAUACAUUUAAGUAAUUUUUAAUUAAUGCCGAUUGAUUAGAAAUAACAAUAAGCUGAAAUUUUUAAGAAUAUUGUCCUCUAGAGAACGUGAGAAAAGGUUGAACAUACAUACCAUCUUUGUUAACAAAGAUAUUUUCCAUUGCGAAAAGUUCUCCAAAAAGUUGUUGAAUUUUUAUUUUUAUUUUUGGUAACUUGGACAGCACGAAGUCGUUUUAAAUAAAAGAAAAAUAAAAAAACUGGGAGGAGGUACUGAGUUUCAUCUCUCAGAAAACUCAUAGAAUCUAGAACAUAAAAAUGUGAUGCUUGAAAAUACAAUGAAUAAACAUGAUUUAAGCAAAUAUACAAUGAAUCUUCAUUAAUUACUACAUUAGGGGAUAAAUAAAAAAAUUUAAUAAAAAGCCUAAUGAUUGGACUGUUUAUAUCCUACUUUCUAAUUGACCAAACUCGAAAAUAUAAACUCAAUCGAAAUUUUCUUUGGUUUGUACUAAUCUUCGUUACAGCGCUUAGAAAAUUCUAAGCUCAUGUAGCGAUUGUUCAUUUCACAGAUUAUUUUGUGGGGAGAAAUUUCUUGAUUGUUAAUAAUUAAACAUAACAAAUAUAUAGAUAUUAAUUGCAUGUAUAAUAAUGUGCAAGUAUUAAAAUGUACUUCAAAGCUUAAAGCGAAAGUAAGAGUUUGUUUGAAAUUGAAGUGUUGUAACUUUUAAGGUACAACUAUUGUAGAAAAAAAUUAUAAUUAUGAAAUAAAAGUUAAUAGUGUAUUGUAAAAAUAAUUUUUAAUAAUAAUUUUGACAAAAUUAUUAAAGAUAUAAUAGAUUUUUCAUCAGAAAAAACCUCUUUUCAUCCCUAAAGUUUCAUGUAAUAACUCAUUUCAUCCUUACUUUUUAAAUAAUAGCCCAAAACAUCCUUCCGCUAACCACUGUUAGUUUAAUGCCGUUAACUAGUAAUUCAUUUAAAUUGGUAAAAUAUGAUUAUUAUUAAAAUGUUUCAAACUAUAUUAAAAUAUUUUUUUUAUACAAUUAAGUAACACUACAAAAUAUGCAAAAUUUAUUAAUUUUUUCUUAAAUGAAAUCAACGAUGAAGUAAUUUGAUAUAACCACUUAAUAGUUUCCAUAAGCAACAAAUUGUAAUUAGCACAAUAUCUUUAAAUAAUUAGAAGAAAAAGUAAAAAAUACAACCAAAUUUUAUGUGCUGAAAAUUUUCUUAAUCUUCAACCAAUUUUUAUUUUGAACUUGGCCACCACUCUUCUUCGACCAUUAUUGUCUUCCCAAGUCCUUACCACUAUCUUUUUUGGUAUUUAUUGUUUAGUGGGAUUAGAUAAACAUUAUUUUUAGUUAUAUGUCAACUUUUAUUUUUUUUUUAAUUUUCUCUUUAAUAGAAAAUCUUUUUUUACCCUCAAUGAAUAACUAACAAACAACGUUUAACUAACAGUGAGUUAAUAAAAUGAUGUUUUGAGUUAUUGUUUAAAAAGUAGGGAUGAAAUGAGGUAUUACAUGAAACUCUAGGGAUGACAGAGGAUUUUUUCCUUUUUCAUCAUACAAGUGAAAAAUCAUAUUAAGAUAGCUUUUAAGCUAUAACAGUUAUUGUUUAUUAAACACUUUAGCGCUGUAACUCUGCCCAACUUCAAACCCAAACACACCCUAAGUCUAGAUCGACAGAAUAGCCCUAAGUUAAAAAUGUGCAUGAAUCUUGAAAAAUACGAUAUUAUUGAAUCCUAAUUAGAUCCAACCAAAGCUUUGUGCAUAACAGCCUAGAUGAUAUAUUUAUUUUAAAUAAUUAAUCAACGUGAAUAUACAAAUAUGAUAAUAGCGGUGGUUCAAAAGGUUUGGGUUUCGAAUUCGGAUUACAUUAGGGUUGAGGAGUUGAUUGAAUAUAUAUUGCAAAAUGGGAAAAAAAUGGAAAUAAUAGAGAAACACACCUUGUAUAUUGAAUAUCUUUUUUUUUUUUUUUUCUUUUGAAGAUAAGUUAACUUAAAAUUUAGCUUAAUUUUAAUCCUAAAAAUUUAAGAAACUAAAUUAAGUCCUAACUAAACUAAAAUUAUAAAAACGACUCGAAUACGACCAAUUUGACUGAUUAUAAUUUGUAAUAUAAUUUUACCAAGACAGAACCAUGAUUGAUUACUUGCACCUUGCAUGUUAACAAUCAAAAGAUCUCUUUGUUUGAUGAGAAUUUGGCAUGAAUUGAAAUUCAAACACGGGCAAAGUGUUAAUGGAGCAGUGAUACCAGAAAAAACAUAACCUUCCUCCCUCGCCCAUAAUGUCAAACAACUACAAGACCGGUAGCUAGCUCUUCAAAGGUACUGAAGUCCAAAAUAGAGCCACGAUUAUCACUAGCUCACUUAUUGCACAGAUACAUGAAUAGAAGCAUCAAUUUUGAUUUGAUCACCAUCAAAAUUUCUGAAACAGAUUGACUGACAAAAGGGAGGGAAACUAAAUUCUGCUUGGCCGAAAAUCAUGUGACGUGGGACCCGAAAGCUUAUAAGCACAACCCCAAAACAAAGUCUCAGAAAUUUAUAAAAAAUGAUACUACCGAGCAUACUAAAGUCAUAUGACCUGGGUCACCAAUUCUCUUCUUCUUUUUUUUUUUUUUUUUUGGGCCUUCACGCUCGUUGGUUCAAUUGUCUUCAUACUACAAAAAAAUGCAUCUUUUGUUUGUUGGUUCCUGCACAAAUUGAAUGUUACCUCCCGAUUUUAACCAAAGGUGAAGAGAUUGAUGAAUAAGCAAUAUGUGAAUGACAACUUGUUCUAUCAUCCCAUUUGUAGGUGGCAUUAAAAUUUAAUGAGGUAAAUAUUGGUGAGGGAUUUUAUUGGGUUUAAUGCCUGUGAAUCAUGUCUUCACUGUUCUUAUGUCUGGAAAGUUUUCCUCGGUCAUGAUUGUUUACGCAAGCAUUAGGAAAAAUCAUAAUUCUUUACCUUAUUGUUUUAUUUACUUCCACAUUAUUGAAAAGAUUCACUUCUUUUGACAUUUAAGCUUUAUCUUGCUCUGUUUUUGAACAGGUUGAGGUGGAAAGAAUUCAUAUUGGCUUGCUGGGAUAAUUUUGGUUUACAUAAUUUGCUUCUAUGGCUACGGAAAGUUACCCUUUCACAUUAUCUCUCUAGUAUUACAUUAUUAUCUGGUCUCAUCUUGAGAGUUAAGAUUCUCGCCGGAGAUCCUAGGCUUUUCCCUCAUUUUCUUUUCAAGUAAUAGUUUGGCGGAGGGAAUCCAAAGCUUUUUAUGUUAUUGUCAUUUCUAACUUCAUUAUUUUUUCCAAUUCCAUGUUGGAUUCACCUGGUAGAAGCAUAAGCUAGCAAAGAUGAAAUGAACCAAGAGCAGGAAGUGAGUUUCUGUCGAUUAAUUUCUUCUUUUUUAAUUGCAAAUUGAGUUGGUGGUACUGAUAACGACAUGUUUUUUCUUCAUUAUUUCUUUUAAAUAAAAAACUAAAGCUCCUAUUAUACACAGGAAACGCCAUUGCCUCAGUCCCAGAACAAAAUGGUCGGUACUUUUUUUAUAUCCAUUAAAUGAAUAAAUAUUAAUUUAUAUUUAUAGAAAUAAUAUCACGUUGAUAAUAUGAUUUUUUUAUGAAAUAUAGUGGUAGUAUAAUUAAAGAAUUUAGUGAUUCUGAGCUAGUAUAAUUAGAAAAUUUAGUGAUCUUUUUUUUUUUGAGUAAAGAAAUUUAGUGAUUCUAACGUAGUAUAACUACAGAAUUAAGUGAUUUUAUCAUGUUGUAUGAUAGGAUUUUAAUUCGAUCUGGAUUGAGUGAAUCAAUCAUUUGAUAAUUCUUUGGUUAGAUUGUACAGUUGGAUCACGAUUACAUGGUAACUCAUGAACUGAGAUUUUUUGGAGGCAAUAGAUUAAAUCUCUCUCUCUUAUUUCUCUUACCACAACACAUAUAAUACAACAAUAACUUCUCAACUGAAAAGUAUAAAAAAAGUAAUGUUGAUCAAUAAAAUGCAUAAAACAUUAUGCCAGUACAACAAAAAAAAUCAUAGACAUAUCAUAUGUAUUUAGUUUUAAAUUAAUUAAUUAUUAAUACAUGUAUUAAUUGGGUCUUAUAAAAAAAUAAAUUUUUUUAAAAUAUAUUAUCUAAUAAAAUUUAUCAAAUUAUUAAUUUACCAUAUUGACUCUAUGUCAAACUGAAGAAAACUAUUAUUUAAUAGGAGUUAUCAAUUUAUCAAUAUUAAUUCAACGGGUUCAAUUCUACUUGGUUUUCAUUUUCUUAGUAAGUGAAGUUAUUAGUUCUCUUGCAUCCUAAUUUUCUUCGUUUCAACUACUUUUUUUUUUCAUUUUUCAUUUUUCAUUUUUCUUUUUUCUUUUAAAUCAAAAUCUUAGAAGAGAAGAAUUACAGCGUAGGGGACAUAAUGAAUUUCUCCUUAAAGAGAUGCAGAGAAAUAGAACACCAAAGUAACACUAAAAAGUUAGCUUGACAGCAUAAACAAUAAGCAAUGUAAGAGUUAUUUUGGAAAACCACAAGAGAAAUAAAUUUCCUGAUAGCUAAAAUAAAUUUCCUAGAUUAGCCAGGCAGUCAGCAUCACACAAUAAAAGAACCCAUUUGGAGGACAAUU
This 17541-nucleotide long non-coding RNA is filed under the name Citrus sinensis (sweet orange). RNAcentral's name for it is "long non-coding RNA (CSIN_LNC001259)". The record is from RNAcentral. Lineage: Eukaryota; Viridiplantae; Streptophyta; Magnoliopsida; Sapindales; Rutaceae.